RNAcentral lists this ribosomal RNA (385 nucleotides) under uncultured bacterium. RNAcentral's name for it is "bacterial SSU rRNA". It matches the Rfam family "Bacterial small subunit ribosomal RNA", at positions 28 to 414 of the family's 1533-position model. The record is from RNAcentral.
GACGAACGCUGGCGGCGUGCUUAACACAUGCAAGUCGAGCGGUAAGGCCCUUUCGGGGGUACACGAGCGGCGAACGGGUGAGUAACACGUGGGUGACCUGCCCUCAGCUCUGGGAUAAGCCUGGGAAACCGGGUCUAAUACUGGAUAUGACUCCAUGACGCAUGUUGUGGGGUGGAAAGCCUUGUGCGGCUGAGGAUGGGCCCGCGGCCUAUCAGCUUGUUGGUGGGGUGANGGCCUACCAAGGCGACGAUGGGUAGCUGGUCUGAGAGGAUGGUCAGCCACACUGGGACUGAGAUACGGCCCAGACUCCUACGGGAGGCAGCAGUCGAGAGGCUUCCGCAAUGGGGGAGACCCUGACGGAGCGACGCCGCGUGAGCGAUGAAGG